Molecule: non-coding RNA, 118 nt
Organism: Triticum urartu
Lineage: Eukaryota; Viridiplantae; Streptophyta; Magnoliopsida; Poales; Poaceae
Source: Rfam
AACGUACUCCCUCCGUCCGAAAAUAUUUGUCAUCAAGAUGAAUAAAAAGGGAUGUAUCUAGAUACAUCCCUUUUUAUUCAUCUUGAUGACAAAUAUUUUCGGACGGAGGGAGUAUAUA